GUAGCGCAGUGGUUAGUGCAGUCUGCCGGAAACAGAAAGACGCGGGUUCAAUUCCCGUC
RNAcentral lists this transfer RNA (59 nucleotides) under Nippostrongylus brasiliensis. It matches the Rfam family "tRNA", at positions 7 to 64 of the family's 71-position model. From Rfam's summary of the family: Transfer RNA (tRNA) molecules are approximately 80 nucleotides in length. Their secondary structure includes four short double-helical elements and three loops (D, anti-codon, and T loops). The record is from Rfam by way of RNAcentral. Lineage: Eukaryota; Metazoa; Nematoda; Chromadorea; Rhabditida; Heligmosomidae.